GGGGGUAAAUUAAUAAGGUAUAAGUAAUAAAAAAAUUUUUAAUAUUGGGGGGUAUUAAAGUAUUUUUUUAAGAAAAAAUAACUUAUUUUAUAGUAAAUUAGUAUUGAAAAAGAAAUUUGAAAUAAUUGAAAAUGAAUUAAUAAAAAAGUAAUUUUUAUUUAGUGUAUCUUGUGUAUCAGAGUUUAUUAAUAAAUAUUUUUUUUAAAAAAAAAUCUCGAAUUUAAAAGAGUUAAUUAAUUAUUAAAGUUAAUGUAGAAAAAUUAUUUUAAAUAAUUAAUUUGAAAUGAAAUGUUAAUCGUUUUUAAAGAUAUCUAGUUAUUUUAGAAAAAAAUUUAAUUUUAAAUUUAAAAAAUUUUAUUUUUAAUUUGAAUUAAAAAUAAAAUUUUUAAAAUUUAAUAUAUUAAGGGAUAAGCUUUAGUAUAAAAAUUUAUAAUAAAUUAAAAUUUAAUUGAAAAUUUUAAAAUUUAUAUUGUUUAAAAAUUAUAAUUUAUUAUAAAUAAUUUUAUAAAAAAUAAAAUUUAAUGUAAAAUUUAAUUUUGUAUAAAAUAGUAAUAAAAAUAAAAAAAAAUUAGUAAUAAUGAUAAAAUUAGUAUAUUAGUAAAAAAAAUUAUUUAAUUAAUUAAAAUUAAAUAAAAGGAAUUCGGCAAAAAUUUAUAUUCACUUGUUUAUCAAAAACAUGUCUUUUAGAAAAUAAUUUAAAGUCUAAUCUGCCCACUGAUAUUAUAUUAAAGGGCUGCAGUAUAUUGACUGUACAAAGGUAGCAUAAUCAAUAGUCUUUUAAUUGAAGACUUGUAUGAAAGAUUUGAUGAAAUAUAAACUGUCUCUAAUUUAAUAAUAAAAUUUAAUUUUUUAGUUAAAAAGCUAAAAUAAAUUUAAAAGACGAGAAGACCCUAUAGAGUUUUAUAUUAAAAUUAUUUAAUAUUUUAUUUAUACUUAAAAAUUAAAAAUAAAAUUAGUAUUUUAUUGGGGUGAUAAAAAAAUUAAAAUAACUUUUUUUAUAUUAAAUCAUAAAUAAGUGAAUAAAUGAUCCAUUUUUUAUGAUUAAAAGAAAAAAUUACCUUAGGGAUAACAGCGUAAUAUUUUUUUUUAGUACAAAUAAGAAAAAAAGUUUGCGACCUCGAUGUUGGAUUAAGAUAAAAUUUAAAUGCAAAAGUUUAAAAUUUUGAUCUGUUCGAUCAUUAAAAUCUUACAUGAUCUGAGUUCAAACCGGUGUGAGCCAGGUUGGUUUCUAUCUUUAAAAUAAUAAAAUAUUUUAGUACGAAAGGAUCAAAUAUUUUUAAUAAUUAAAAUUUAAUGAAUAUUAUUAAUUUGUUAUUAUAAUAUAUAUAUAUAUAUAUAUAAAUAU
This 1345-nucleotide ribosomal RNA is filed under the name Adelpha ethelda. Its description in RNAcentral is "16S ribosomal RNA". The record is from RNAcentral. Lineage: Eukaryota; Metazoa; Arthropoda; Insecta; Lepidoptera; Nymphalidae.